AAUCUCUGGGCUUCACCAAAACUCCUCACAAAAGCCAAACGCCAUAUCCAGAAGGUUAUGAAGGGUAUAAUGAGGAGCCAAACAGAAAGGACAAAACUAAGGCGCAAAAAGAAUUGCAGAACAUGGCAAGUCUUCAUUGUCAUCCCAACUACAAACUCCUGAAAAGGAAGCCUUGCUGGGGCAUUCUCUGCAUAAACAGGAGAGAAAGAGAAUGCAUGCUUGCAAACCUCGCAUUGGCGAGCGUUGCUGUGAUUAAGCCACUGCAGUAGGCAAUCCUGGUGCACAAACUUGAUACUUCCGCUACAAGCGCAAGGAUACCGUAAAGGAUUCUCCGCAUCUCCCGGGUUCCUACAGAUCCGGCAUACAUCCUCCUCCUC
This 377-nucleotide unclassified non-coding RNA is filed under the name Hevea brasiliensis (rubber tree). The record is from RNAcentral. Lineage: Eukaryota; Viridiplantae; Streptophyta; Magnoliopsida; Malpighiales; Euphorbiaceae.